GUCGGGCAUUUUUAAACACCAACACUUGCCUUCAAAGAUGCAGCAAACCUCUGAAUUGCAGUGCCUCAAGUUGGAGAACCCUUGCCUGAGGAGUGUGAGGUGGUUGCAGAGGCCUUGCUGGGAGCCCAAAUAGCAGAUGGGGGGAAGCAGCUGGGGAGGACUGGACACCGCUGUGGAAACCUGUUGGACCAACAUCUCCUGAGCAUAGACAGAAGAAGACGAUAGCUGCCGUGUGACUACCACCCUCCUUGCCAUGGACCCGGUGGUAAAGGGUCCACUAUGUUCUGGGCAGGGACCUUGUUGGGUCUGUUGCAGCUGGUUGUCUCCAUGGG
RNAcentral lists this long non-coding RNA (332 nucleotides) under Calidris pugnax (ruff). Its description in RNAcentral is "lncRNA (ENSCPUG00000014874.1)". Lineage: Eukaryota; Metazoa; Chordata; Aves; Charadriiformes; Scolopacidae. The record is from RNAcentral.